RNAcentral lists this ribosomal RNA (424 nucleotides) under uncultured bacterium. Its description in RNAcentral is "bacterial SSU rRNA". It matches the Rfam family "Bacterial small subunit ribosomal RNA", at positions 355 to 776 of the family's 1533-position model. The record is from RNAcentral.
UGAGGAAUAUUGGUCAAUGGGCGCAGGCCUGAACCAGCCAAGUAGCGUGAAGGAUGACUGCCCUAUGAGCUGUAAACUGCUUUUGUACGAGGGUAAACCCCGAUACGUGUAUCGGGUUGAAAGUAUCGUACGAAUAAGGAUCGGCUAACUCCGUGCCAGCAGCCGCGGUAAUACGGAGGAUCCGAGCGUUAUCCGGAUUAAUUGGGUUUAAAGGGAGCGUAGGUGGACAGUUAAGUCAGUUGUGAGAGUUUGCGGCUCAACCGUAAAAUUGCAGUUGAUACUGGAUAUCUUGAGUGCAGUUGAGGCAGGCGGAAUUCGUGGUGUAGCGGUGAAAUGCUUAGAUAUCACGAAGAACCCCGAUUGCGAAGGCAGCUCACUGGACUGCAACUGACACUGAUGCUCGAAAGUGUGGGUAUCAAACAGG